AGUAAUGCUUGGGAAUCUAGCUUAUGGAGGGGGAUAACUACGGGAAACUGUAGCUAAUACCGCGUAGUAUCGGAAGAUGAAAGUGGGGGACCUUCGGGCCACAUGCCAUAGGAUGAGCCCAAGUGGGAUUAGGUAGUUGGUGAGGUAAAGGCUCACCAAGCCGACGAUCUCUAGCUGGUCUGAGAGGAUGACCAGCCACACUGGGACUGAGACACGGCCCAG
This 222-nucleotide ribosomal RNA is filed under the name uncultured bacterium. RNAcentral describes it as "partial 16S ribosomal RNA". It matches the Rfam family "Bacterial small subunit ribosomal RNA", at positions 109 to 334 of the family's 1533-position model. The record is from RNAcentral.